RNAcentral lists this ribosomal RNA (465 nucleotides) under Vreelandella stevensii. Its description in RNAcentral is "partial 16S ribosomal RNA". It matches the Rfam family "Bacterial small subunit ribosomal RNA", at positions 338 to 795 of the family's 1533-position model. The record is from RNAcentral. Lineage: Bacteria; Pseudomonadati; Pseudomonadota; Gammaproteobacteria; Oceanospirillales; Halomonadaceae.
CCUACGGGUGGCAGCAGUGGGGAAUAUUGGACAAUGGGCGAAAGCCUGAUCCAGCCAUGCCGCGUGUGUGAAGAAGGCCUUCGGGUUGUAAAGCACUUUCAGUGGGGAAGAAAGCCUUGGGGCUAAUACCCUCGAGGAAGGACAUCACUCACAGAAGAAGCACCGGCUAACUCCGUGCCAGCAGCCGCGGUAAUACGGAGGGUGCGAGCGUUAAUCGGAAUUACUGGGCGUAAAGCGCGCGUAGGCGGUCUGAUAAGCCGGUUGUGAAAGCCCCGGGCUCAACCUGGGAACGGCAUCCGGAACUGUCAGGCUAGAGUGCAGGAGAGGAAGGUAGAAUUCCCGGUGUAGCGGUGAAAUGCGUAGAGAUCGGGAGGAAUACCAGUGGCGAAGGCGGCCUUCUGGACUGACACUGACGCUGAGGUGCGAAAGCGUGGGUAGCAAACAGGAUUAGAUACCCCGGUAGUC